Long non-coding RNA from Bubalus bubalis (water buffalo), 649 nucleotides. RefSeq lists it as uncharacterized. NCBI's taxonomy places the organism in Eukaryota, Metazoa, Chordata, Mammalia, Artiodactyla, Bovidae. The record is from RefSeq and is a predicted model, not a curated record. The transcript has 2 exons.
CUGUUGAGCACAGAUGGCCAGUUAUCGAUGUAAUCUGUGUAUCUGGGAGGCAUGUGCUGUAAGGAGGCAGCUGCUAAACUGAAUUAAGCCACAGUUUUUAAGAAGAGAAAGUGGAUUGGAAACAGAUAGAAGUUUUGAAUGUAUGCGGCUGUGUGAAGCUGUGAUCUAUGGUUAAAAAUCAGGAUGAUAUGCACUAAGAGACUGAGGAUCUUUCCAAAGUACAACCCUAUGGAAGCCAGACUCCAAAUAGGAAGCUGCCAAGAUCAAUUCAUUUUGAUAAAUCAACUGUUUCAGAAGGCCAUCUACACUGAAAUACAGCUGCUGUUCUUUUUUUUUUCUAACAAAAUGAUCAUGAAGCAAGCAUGAACCAACUAUUACUCAGACUGUUUUACUGAACUAAUGAAUUGCUCUGGGAAGCCUCUUAUGAAGAUGUGUGUUCAAUUAUUACAUACAAACUGGUUAAAAGGAAAUACAUCAUAAUUAGGCUAACAUAUCCACUGUGAUGCAGCCUCUCCUGAUGAAAGAACUCCUUUGAGACAAUGUGGGCACAUUGGGGUACUUUGUGUUUUUCUGUUUAUUGAUUUUCAUCUUUUAUAAUUUGAUGGAUUAACCAACACUGGUUCACAACUGUUCCUUGUCCAGUUUAAUG